GGCAGUAUGCUUGGUAAAAGUCAUCGCCAUUCUCUAAUCUUGAGUACCCAGGGACACGAUACACUGCGGAAGGCUGCAGGGACCUCUGCCCAGGAAAGCCAGGAGCCAGAAAAACUUCAUCUCUUUUACAAGAAACAUUGAGAUUCCUGUAAAAUUAAGAAAUCACACAAUUUGAUGGUCUACAUUAUCUAAAGCAAAUGAGACUUCUAUUUGGAACAAAGACUACCUUGUUGGGAAAUGAGUCUGCAAGUUAAAGUGUUUUCUGUUUUCUAAGGAUAAUGGUCUCCAGCUUCGUCAAUGUUCCUGCAAAGGACAUGAUGCUGACUUUGAAGAUGCAAGCUUCCACAUCUACAGCCUCAAGGAAACAAAUUCAGCCAACCAACUGAGGGAGCUUUCCUUGUCCUGCCUCAAGAUGAGAUCACAGUCUGCCCAACACCAUGAUUUAGGCCUUGUGACACCUGGUAUGGAAGACCCAGUUAAGUUCUCUCCAAACUCUUGACCCACAGAACCUGUGAGAAAAUAUAUGGAUAUUAUUUUAAACUGCUAAAUUUGUAGUAAUUUGUUAUGCAGCAAUAAAAAAAACUAAUGCAAGGAGAUAUCAAUUAUUGUAAAAAGCUUAGCUUUUGUUUUAAAAUAUAGUUCACCAGUAGUAAGUUACUAAUAAGUAACUAAACAAAUAAAAGCAAGCCAUUUACAAAUCAAUAAUAAGAGUAAGUCAUGAACUAAAGAUUGUAAUUAAUCAAUUUCUGUACGCCUGUAAUGAAAAUAAAGGAGGAAAAGAAAAUGAAAGAAAA
RNAcentral lists this long non-coding RNA (794 nucleotides) under Homo sapiens (human). Its description in RNAcentral is "HSALNT0378551". Lineage: Eukaryota; Metazoa; Chordata; Mammalia; Primates; Hominidae. The record is from RNAcentral.